AAGCAUCCUUAAUAAACCCCCCAGUUACACUUUAGUGGUCUCUGGGACAAGAAAGGAUGCAACAGCAAUCUUAGAAUUAUCCAAAACUGAGAGCUGUGUGUCUGUAGCUCCUAGUUAUUUCACCUCUAAGACAAAA
Mugil cephalus (flathead mullet) is the source of this 136-nucleotide small nucleolar RNA. RefSeq annotates it as small nucleolar RNA SNORA14. The transcript has a single exon. NCBI's taxonomy places the organism in Eukaryota, Metazoa, Chordata, Actinopteri, Mugiliformes, Mugilidae. The record is from RefSeq and is a predicted model, not a curated record.